GAGAGUUUGAUCCUGGCUCAGAUUGAACGCUGGCGGCAGGCCUAACACAUGCAAGUCGAGCGGUAGCACAGAGAGCUUGCUCUCGGGUGACGAGCGGCGGACGGGUGAGUAAUGUCUGGGAAACUGCCUGAUGGAGGGGGAUAACUACUGGAAACGGUAGCUAAUACCGCAUAACGUCGCAAGACCAAAGUGGGGGACCUUCGGGCCUCAUGCCAUCAGAUGUGCCCAGAUGGGAUUAGCUAGUAGGUGGGGUAAUGGCUCACCUAGGCGACGAUCCCUAGCUGGUCUGAGAGGAUGACCAGCCACACUGGAACUGAGACACGGUCCAGACUCCUACGGGAGGCAGCAGUGGGGAAUAUUGCACAAUGGGCGGAAGCCUGAUGCAGCCAUGCCGCGUGUAUGAAGAAGGCCUUCGGGUUGUAAAGUACUUUCAGCGAGGAGGAAGGCGUUAAGGUUAAUAACCUUAGCGAUUGACGUUACUCGCAGAAGAAGCACCGGCUAACUCCGUGCCAGCAGCCGCGGUAAUACGGAGGGUGCAAGCGUUAAUCGGAAUUACUGGGCGUAAAGCGCACGCAGGCGGUCUGUCAAGUCGGAUGUGAAAUCCCCGGGCUCAACCUGGGAACUGCAUUCGAAACUGGCAGGCUAGAGUCUUGUAGAGGGGGGUAGAAUUCCAGGUGUAGCGGUGAAAUGCGUAGAGAUCUGGAGGAAUACCGGUGGCGAAGGCGGCCCCCUGGACAAAGACUGACGCUCAGGUGCGAAAGCGUGGGGAGCAAACAGGAUUAGAUACCCUGGUAGUCCACGCCGUAAACGAUGUCGACUUGGAGGUUGUGCCCUUGAGGCGUGGCUUCCGGAGCUAACGCGUUAAGUCGACCGCCUGGGGAGUACGGCCGCAAGGUUAAAACUCAAAUGAAUUGACGGGGGCCCGCACAAGCGGUGGAGCAUGUGGUUUAAUUCGAUGCAACGCGAAGAACCUUACCUGGUCUUGACAUCCACAGAACUUUCCAGAGAUGGAUUGGUGCCUUCGGGAACUGUGAGACAGGUGCUGCAUGGCUGUCGUCAGCUCGUGUUGUGAAAUGUUGGGUUAAGUCCCGCAACGAGCGCAACCCUUAUCCUUUGUUGCCAGCGGUCCGGCCGGGAACUCAAAGGAGACUGCCAGUGAUAAACUGGAGGAAGGUGGGGAUGACGUCAAGUCAUCAUGGCCCUUACGACCAGGGCUACACACGUGCUACAAUGGCAUAUACAAAGAGAAGCGACCUCGCGAGAGCAAGCGGACCUCAUAAAGUAUGUCGUAGUCCGGAUUGGAGUCUGCAACUCGACUCCAUGAAGUCGGAAUCGCUAGUAAUCGUAGAUCAGAAUGCUACGGUGAGUACGUUCCCGGGCCUUGUACACACCGCCCGUCACACCAUGGGAGUGGGUUGCAAAAGAAGUAGGUAGCUUAACCUUCGGGAGGGCGCUUACCACUUUGUGAUUCAUGACUGGGGUGAAGUCGUAACAAGGUAACCG
This 1503-nucleotide ribosomal RNA is filed under the name uncultured bacterium. RNAcentral's name for it is "bacterial SSU rRNA". It matches the Rfam family "Bacterial small subunit ribosomal RNA". The record is from RNAcentral.